Molecule: long non-coding RNA, 1659 nt
Filed under: Homo sapiens (human)
Lineage: Eukaryota; Metazoa; Chordata; Mammalia; Primates; Hominidae
Description: HSALNT0393668
Source: RNAcentral
GAGCUUAGUGGUUUCAACUUCAGAUUUCAUUUCUCAGCCUUUUUUCUUGUUAAGCUACAUGCUUUUCUGUCUUAGCUAAGGAUGCUUGACAAGUACUUUGCCAAAACAUGCAGUGAAAUGAACACACCCUCAUCUUCAGAGAAAGAACACUCCUUUUUAUUCCACGGAAACCAUAAUUCCCAAGCCAGUGAGAUUAUCUGUGGUCUUUUCUCUUUAUCCCCUCCUUUUGCCCUUUAGGGGAGAGAAGAGUGUGGAGGGAGGAAUCGGGGAAGCCCAGUGCCGUACUGAUGCUCUGGACUUUGUUUUUGGAGGUAGCCUGUGAUGCAGGGCAGAAAAGAGCUGAUGCCUUGGAGAGAGACUGGGAGAGGCUGGAGUUAAUAGAGGGUCCCAGGGUAUCCAAGAAGCUGUCAUCCAGGUCUUCUCCAAUGAAGCUACAACAACCCACAGAGCCAGCAGGGGAACCUACACCUUCGAUGUCAUAUAUGAGCAAACAGUCAUUAGAUGGGCGUCCUUCAUCUUCAUCUGCAUGGAGUGAAUAUGAUGAUUCUGUGAAGGUUUAUUGCAACAUGACUUUUUCAGCACAGCAACAGGAAAAUUUGACUCUGGGUCUGUUCUACAAAAUUAAAGCUUUCUCAGCACAAAAAACAGCAUAGACUGUGAGUGAUGGCGGCCAUCUUGGUUCAUGUGUAAAGACUGAAUUUCAGUGACUACCAACGGCUAUUUCUUAGAAUGUGGCACUUACCCUGGGUUCAGGCUGUGGUCCUUCUACUGCCCAUGAAUGAAUUGCUCCAUCUGAACAUUCGGGAACAGGCUCAAAGCCAGCUGCACUACGAGGAGCACCUCCACAAUCACAACAGAUCAUCAAAAAUGGGACCACUGGUGGUGGAGGGAUAGUAAUACUAGAGUUAGCACUGGGUGCAAAUAAAAAACAAAACAACCUGAUUUUUUAUGGUUAAAUUUGAAUUCGUAAUAUAAUUCUGGUUGGUUCUAAAAUUAUGAAAGUUUCAGAAUACAAGCUGAAUGAUGGUCAGACCCCAAAGUAAAUGGGAGCUUCUGUAUAUUAGACUGCAGUCAAUUUUAGUUUAUUUUAUAGUAUUAAAAAUUACAAAUAGUGGGCCUGGCAUGGUGGCUCACACCUGUAAUUCCAGCACUUUGGGAGGUGGAAGUGGGUGGAUCACUAGAGCCCAGGAGCUUGAGACAAGCCUGAGCAACAUGGUGAAACCCUAUCUCUACCAAAAAAUACAAAAAUUAGGCGUGUAUGGGGGCUUUUGCCUGCAGUCUUAGCUACUCUGGAGGCUGAGGUGGGAGGAUGGCUUGAGCCAGGGAGGUUGAGGCUGCUCAACCAGGGAGGUGGGCGGUGGUUGUGCCACUGCACUCCAGCCUGAGUGACAGAGUGAGACCCUCUCUCAAAAAAAAAAAAAAAAAAAUCACAGAUAGUAUUACAUUAUUAAAACCGAUUAAUCUUUCCAUGUCAUUAUUUAGGAAAAUAUUAAAGGAGAGAACAAGGAAAGAUGAAAAGUCGUGGGAUGCUCGUGAAUUAAGAAACAACCAAAAAUGCCAAAUAUUGAGACUCUUGAAAUCAAAUUAAGUAUGAUCUGAGAUUAAGAACUUCUGAGAAGAAUUUAAGCAUGAACAUAUAUAUUGACAUGAAGUCCACUU